This is a non-coding RNA of Oryctolagus cuniculus (rabbit), 18127 nucleotides long. Lineage: Eukaryota; Metazoa; Chordata; Mammalia; Lagomorpha; Leporidae. The record is from RefSeq and is a predicted model, not a curated record.
CCUCCCCUUUCCCACUCCCUCUCCCCUUCCAUUCACAUCAAGAUUCAUUUUCAUUUCUCUUUAUAUACAGAAGAUCAGUUUAACAUACAUUAAGUAAAGAUUUCAACAGUUUGCUCCCACACAGAAACAUAAAGUGAAAAAUACUGUUUUGAGUACUAGUUAUAGCAUUAAAUCUCAGUGUACAGCACACUAAGGACAGAGAUCCUACAUGAGGAGUAAGUGCACAGUGACUCCUGUUGUUGACUUAACAAAUUGACACUCCUGUUUAUGGCAUCAGUAAUCACCCUAGGCUCUUGUCAUGAGCUGCCAAGGCUAUGGAAGCCCCCUGAGUUCACCGACUCUGAUCAUAUUUAGACAAGGCCAUGGUCAAAGUGGAAGUUCUCUCCUCCCUUCAGAGAAAGGUACCUCCUUCUUGGAUGACCCGUUCUUUCCACUGGGAUCUCACUCGCGGGGAUCUUUCAUUUAGUUUUUUUUUUUUUCCCCCCAGAGUGUCUUGGCUUUCCAUGCCUGAAAUAGUCUCAUGGGCUUUUCAGCCAGAUCCGCAUGCCUUAAGGGCUGAUUAUGAGGCCAGAGUGCUGUUUAGGACAUCUGCCAUUCUACGGGUCUGCUGUGUAUCUCACUUCCCAUGUUGGAUCAUUCUCUCCCUUUUUUAUUCUAUCAGCUAGUAUUCGCAGACACUAGUCAUGUUUAUGUGAUCCCUUUGGUUCUUAUUCCUAUCAUUAUGAUCAAUUGUGAACAGAAAUUGAUCACUUGGACUAGUGAGAUGGCAUUGGUACAUGCCACCUUGAUGGUAUUGAAUUGGAAUCCCCUGGUAUGACCCUUUUAUAUUCACUAUUAGAAAAUAAGUGGGACAAAACCCAGUAGUAGUCAGUCAUGUUUAGUGCACCUGCUUGUUUUUUCAUUGAUAUAUGCUUGUGAUAUUUGUAUUUACAUUACUUAUUUCUAAUGUAACUAUGUUUAAUGUUAGUCUGGAAUUCUUACUAUAAUUAAAUCAUAACGUUUCACAGUUGUACAAAGAGCACUGAGACUUCCAAGAGUUUUGCUGUUUAAUUGGUUUGAAAACUGCUGAAUUGAUCAUCUAGUAAGACAGAGAGCAGGAAUUUUUAUCAUCAUCAUUAUGUGUGUAGUCAGAAGCCAUUGCAGACCUUUGAUGGGAAGUAACACAAGGAAAAUCAGAUUUCAUAUAAUGGAGCAAUAUUUGGGGGAGUUUUCUGGAAGAGGAGAGGUAGAGAGUGAAAAUGGGUAUAGAAAUGAAGAUAGAAUACAACCUUGGCAAAUGAUAUUGUUAGCUCAGAUCAUAUCAAGCAUUUGAUUAGAAGUUCCUAUAAUUCUAGCAUCAUGAUUCAAAUUAAAAUAUUAGGGACCGAUGCUGUGGAAUAGUAGGUUAAGCCUUCACCUGCAGCACCAGCAUCUCAAUGGGCACCGGAUUGAGUCCCGGCUGCUCUACUCUCAAUCCAGCUUCCUUCUGAUGGCCUGGGAAAUCAGCAAAAGAUGACCCAACUGCUUGGGCCCCUGCACCCAUAGGGAGACCUGGAAAAAGCUCCUGGCUCUGGCUUUGGAUUGGCCCAGCUCCAGCUGUUGCAGCCAUUUGGGGAGUAAGCCAGUGGAUUUAAGGCCUCUCUCUCUGUCUCUGUCUUUCUGUCUGUAACUCUACCUCUUAAAUGAAUAAAUAAACCUUCUAAAAAAUUAAAAUAUUAAGGUAGCUUUCUUUAGUUUAACAAGUUAAUUUUGCGUUGAUGAAAGUUAGACAUAGUAACUAAAGCAAAUUUUAGAUUACAGUUUCUCUUUUUAAUCUACUUUCAAAUAUGAUUCUUCUAUCAUAAAUAUUCUUAGAAUCUUGAACAAUAAUUCGGUAAGUAUAUUCCUAAAGAGAUCAUAGUCACAAGUCUAUAGAUACUGGAGCACAAUGUAACUGUUGAAAUGGAGAAGAUGGGUCCUUGCUGAAUAAGAAAACAUUCAAGGCAUUUGGCUGGGGGAUAGGAGUGAAAUAAGGGAUGCAAAAUGGACUCAGGCUUGGGCUCCAGGAAUUUUUCAGGGAUAUGAAUGGUAAAACAAAUUCAAUGUUAGUAGUAACAGUAGAAGAAAUUAUAUAUCGGGUGCCAAGAAAAUAAUAUAACAGCUUGAAAAAAUCUAAAGGAGUUGGUAUUUGAGUUAGUUACUUUUGAAUAGACAAAAUGGGAUAAAGAGCAUUCUGCCUCAAGGAAGAAAUACAGCCAAAGGCACUGGCCCCUAACACAAAUAUUUGUUGGGUAAUUUAAUAAAUGGAAUUGGGUAGCAUUUGUUUUUCUGUUGAUUUAUUUGGUAUGACACAUUGAAUGUCUCCUGUGUGCCUGCUACUGUGGCAGGUAGUUAUGGGAUAUAACAAGAUGAAUUUGAAAGAGUUAUAAUCCAGUAGGAGAGAUGGAUAAAACUGACAAAUGAAUAUACAAAUUCAAAGUGAGGAGGAUGAUUAAGUUACUGAGUAACUUAAUAAGGAAAUCUGGUUGGAUUGGAUAGUCAGAGAAGGCCCCUUUGAGAAAACUAAAUAUAAGCUGAAGGGGAUCUUUGUUAGAAUCUGAUAUACCCUGUGGGAUAUAUAUCCUGUUGGAAGCCUUUACCAUUGUUGUUAUUCUAGUACAUAUAAUCUGGCUAAAUUAAAAACACAACCUGUGAAAUUUCUCUUUUUCAUCAGUUUUUGCUUUAUUGAUUACUGAAUUAUAAACCUAUUGUUACUUUUGUUUUGCAGAAACCAAAGUUGAAAGAUUGGCAUCCUCCUGGAGGUUUUAUUCUUGGAUUAUGGGCACUCAUUAUCAUGGUUUUCUUCAAAACUUAUGGAAUCAAGCAUAUGAAGUUCAUUUUUUAGACUUUGAUAGAUGAAGAAGAAAGCAUGGAAGACUACAACCUUGGAUAAAAAUUUCUGUCAUAUGAUUUUAAAGAUACAAUUCUCUUUGCAUGAAUUGGAGAAAACUAUAAAGAAACUAAAUUUAAAUAAGCUGUUGAUAACUAAAAGAAAAAUAAUUGUUAAUGCAGUUGCUUAAUGGCACCAAUUAUAUUUCAACUUUAUUUUGUGUGUUAUAAAAACAACUGGGGCAGAGAAAUGGGAAUGUACUGAUUGAUUUUUUUAGAAUAACAAUUUCCCUAUAUCUCCUGUUUAUUCAAAAAAGAAAAAAUUGUGAAGUCAUGAAAUUCUGAUAGAAGCAACUUUUUAAAUAAUUUCUUAUGUGUCCUCCUGGUCUUUUUAUUUUGCACUUAUUUUCCCCAAGUGGAGAUCAUACAGGAAACCACUUUUAUAAUUUAUCCUUUUUCAUUUUACUAUAUAUAAUGUUUCCCUUUCAUUGGAUAUUCAAGAAAGCCUUGUGAACUGCUGCAUAAUACCUGUUAUAUGAGUGUGUAGUCCUUUAUUUGACAGCCUUAGACUGUUGGACUACUGACCUUGUUCCCGAAGUUUUCCUUUGAUUGAUUCUUUAAUGUAUGAACCUAUUAACAUGUUACUUUCAGUCACUCAUAGAAUUCUGUAGCUUUAAUUAUAAGAUUAACAAAUUGAUUUCUUAAUCUAUGUCACUGACAGUCUCCAGUACCUUGUUUGUGGUCAGUGUAUCUGUGACUUUGUAGCUGUUGGGAAUUUUACAUAUUGAUUGCUCAACAGAAGCAUACUCCAUUAUUUUUGACUUCUAAGUGUUAUAAUCUUUCAGAAUUGGUCACCUCCUUCUCAGUUUCUCACUUGAAACAGACAUCCAGCAAAAACUUUUAUUUCAUUUUGUUUAAGAUAAAUCUUGCCUACUGGCAGGAUCUGUACUUUGCCUGAAAACAAUCCCAUAAAAUGGGUGACCUACUUAACUCUGUCUUCACAUUUUUUUUUUUUUUUUUUUUUUUUGACAGGCAGAGUGGACAGUGAGAGAGAGAGACAGAGAGAAAGGUCUUCCUUUUGCCGUUGGUUCACCCUCCAAUGGCUGCCGCGGCCAGCACGCUGCGGCCGGCGCACCGCGCUGAUCCGAUGGCAGGAGCCAGGAGCCAGGAGCCAGGUGCUUUUCCUGGUCUCCCAUGGGGUGCAGGGCCCGAGCACCUGGGCCAUCCUCCACUGCACUCCCUGGCCACAGCAGAGAGCUGGCCUGGAAGAGGGGCAACCGGGACAGAAUCCGGCGCCCCAACCGGGACUAGAACCCGGUGUGCCGGCGCCGCUAGGCGGAGGAUUAGCCUAGUGAGCUGCGUGUCUUCACAUUUGACUAAUGGGUUACACAGGCAUUAAGUCCUUUCAAUUUUUAAGCCUAACAGCCAGCUUCACAUCUUUCCCAUGGAUAUGUUAUUGAGAUUCUGCUUUCUGAUUGUGAUUUCUUUUUAAAUUUUUGCAUGUGAAGAGGGAAAGGGCUGAAUGCUCAGUUCUCUUGUCUCGAGGAAAACCUUUAUAUGUGUUUUACCUAUUUUAUCCAAGAACUUAUGUGUUCAUCUUUAUUCAUUGUGGUUAUCUGUCUUAUAAUGGUAGAUAACGUCAAGAACAACUCAUCCACCACCGUAAAAGCUCCUAAAAGCAAUAUUACUUAGAAUUUCCCUUUUUUUUUAAAACUAAAUGGACUUUUAUUUGUUUUAAAAUCAUUAAUCAUUCAAAGCUAAAAAAGUGUACUUUUUUUUUUUUUAAACUUUAACAUUGAUUACAGGAUGAAUGCCUCUGGUUAUAUUAACAAUGGAGUUAAUUUCCUUUGCUCUAGAUAGUGUUCUAUUUUUCCACAGAAACUUUUCAUUUAAGGUGUAGAAACUUCAUUCAUUUAGUAAAUAAUUUGUUUUCCUUUUAGCACUUAAAAUAUUGUCCUUUAAUAACAUGCAAAAUGGUCAGACUUUUUCACAGACGAGGGAUUGAAUAUGUGUAUCUCCCUUAGAGCGAAUGAUAGAGGCUUUCAUUAGUUCUAAAUCUUCACUUGAAUUAUUUAUUUUAUUGGUGUACCAUACAAGAAGAUAAUGUGCAUUUUCCACCAACUUUUUGAAGAUCUCAUGUAAAUGAAGCAAGACAACUUUAUCUGAUUGUAUAGGGGAGAAUUUUUUUGUACCUAUUUGAAUAGCCUGGUCACAGUAGCAUUAACAGACAAAAAGACUGGCCAUGUCAUCUUCCAGUCACUUACUUAAGGUCGUGAAUACUAUGGUGGAGUGGAGCGAUUUAGAGAAGUAAAGGAAUUAUGAUUUUCAUGAGCCAAAGUGAUUUAGCUAGAAUAAAAUGAAGCAUACCCUGAUGGUAAAGACUGUUGGAAAGUAAAAGAAUUCCUCCUUCGAGGUUGUUAGAAGGUGCCUUUCUUACUUAAAACCAAACUGGGAAAAGUAAUACUGGAUAUAAUAUACAGGAUUAAUUUUGCCUAGGCAGGACUUCAAAGGGCAAUUAUUUUUUCUCUGUUUCAUUAUUGAAUUUUCAGAAUAUAGUUAAAGCAAAAGGCUUAAAAUAUGUUAAAUGUUUAGCCCAUGACCAUAAUCUUUUCACAUAAGGUAUAUUCUGUCUUCAGUAAUAAGCAAAUCCUCUGCACGGGAAUAUUUUAAGUGCAAUUAAAUGGCCUAGAGUUUAAAUGAUUACAUAAAAGCACAUCAUUAAAUGCAUUCUGCUGGAGUCACAGUGAGCUAAACAAUGGGAAGAUGUUUGCUUUUUUGCCUUUGUCAGUGUUGUGCUGAGGAUCUGAUGAGAUAAUGUUAUGACUAAACACUUUGGAAAUCAGAAAUACAUGCUGAUAUUAUAUCCGUGUGGGAAGAUGCCUGGGGCGGGGGGGGGGGGGUUAACGGUGAUAGUGUCCCUCUUCAUGUAGCACUUCUUUAGCUUUCUAAGCCACUCAAUGUGUCUCUUGUUCUUCUCGGUAUUCUUUUUCUCCUCCUCAAUGGUAUCCUUCAGGGAGACAAGAUGUGUAUAAAUGGACCCCAGAAAACCUGUUCUGACAUUUCAGAGAGGGACAAGGUGUAAUGAUACCAUCCUGCAAAGGCAAUCUGAAGGCAAACAAGAAACCCAAUGAUAUGGAUUUUAAAAUUACAAAAGAUAUUCAUUUGCAGCUUAUGAAAGGAAAAUGUAGUUUGCAUGCAAAGCUGAUUACAAUGGAUCAAGGAAAAUUAGAAUUAAAAACAAAAAUAAUGCAUGUAUUUAUGGUUUCAAUUUUUAUAUAUUCUCAGCUGCUUGGAAAUGAUGACUCCCACGACAAGCAUAACUUAGCUUGUUUCUGCUUACUGAGUAUUUUCUACUAUGGUAUAUAUUGAUAACACUUCUUCCAUUAUGUAUGUUCUAUAGCAGAGUUACAGUUACUGUGGGAAUCAUCAUUUGAAAUUUCGACUCAUGUUUCCAAAAUAUUCACAACAAAUAUUGUAUUAACAUAGAACGUUUUUUGGUGGAUUUUACCAAAAUUAGUCCCAUCUGUAGUAGACACUGUUUUAACUUAAGAAAUAUUUUAUAAGCAUACUAUAAGGUAUGGCUAUAAGAUAAUGAGAUCUGUGUCCAUUUUUGCUUCUUGGAAUCAACUUUAUUGUUUCAUUGUCACAUCUCAAACUUCAGAGCAUUUGCCACAAAGAAAGUGGUUUUGUUGCUACUUUCCCUACCUACACAUGUACCUGCUGCUUAAAUUGGAAAACUUUUCAGUUCAUGGCCAACACAUCUUGGUGAUAAUCAGGCUGGUUUUUUUUGGGGGGGGGAGAGGGAGAGAGGAGAGGGUUAGGGGUACAAAAAUUUAUUGUUGUAGAAAUGUAUUAUAAGCUAUUUGGCUAGAUUUAACUUUGUCAACUAUAGGAUAAUGGGAUUGAUAUAAAUGGAGGUGUAACCAAGAAAUAGGCUAUUAAAAAUUCAUGAACUCCAAAUAUGGAAAGAUUAUACUGUCAUUUUUGUCUUACCUAUGCUGCUUGCGGUCUCAGAGUCAAGAAAACUUUCAGAUUUGCCUGUGUCAUAGAGUCUGCUUGUGGCAGCCCUAGGAUAUGAUCCACAUUCAGUUCUGGCUGUGCUAGAAGUUCAGGGACAGUGGCAUGAGGAUGUAGAGGUAAAUUUCGUACAUUACAGCAGGCAGUAUGUCCUGUUUAGGACAUGGCCAAUGUUUUGUUCAUCGCUGAGUGGGAACCUACCUUCCUACCUACCUUCCUGUCUUGCUUUAACCUUUAUUCAGGGCUGCUUGCUUCUUCAAGAGUGUUAGCUUUACUUCUCCUAGAUUGAACAAUUCACUUCUGUUCUUAGCAAACAACAUUUUUGUAUGACAGUUUAUUUUCAUUUUUGUUCAGUGUUAUCCAACAAUUCCGCUCCAGACUUUUUUGCCUUUCCUGGAUUUUUUUUUCCUGUUUUAGCUGUAGUUUUCUAAUGUCUCUAUAGCCUAUAGCUUGGUACAUCCUCAUUCCCAAACCCCAAAAGUCUGGAUAAUAAUCCUGGUUCCCAAAGAGUGGAUUCUGUACUUCAGGAAGAAACCUCUCUUUUCCCAGUGUUGGAACUUUUUAAGUUUCAAAUGAUAAAAACUCAUGUAGAGCAAAGGCAGUCCAACAGGGAAUUCGCUGCAGAGGUAUUAUGUUACCUCAUGUAAAAUUCUUGUGGGACUGGGCUUGGUCUGCACCUCUUCAGGAGUUGAAAUGUCACCUGGAUUCUUUUCAUUCUGCCUUGAUCCCUCCUGGAAACUGUCUUUUUGCGUCGUGUGGCUGGUGACUGCAGAGCCUCAGAGCUCAUUCUUCUACCAUGAGAACAAUUACUGUCUUCCUUUAAUCCCAGUUACAAAAUCUUGUGGAAGAACCAAUUUACCUCAUACUUUGUCAGAUGGCCAAGGACUUGUAAGCACAUAAAGAUCUCUGUUGACAUGGGGAAGAGAGAGAGAACAGGAGCUAGGCAGUCACUCUUACUUUCUUCUAAUUUGCUAUUCAACAGGUGGCCCUGUAAAUCCCAGCAUCUGUAGCAUCAUCUAAAACUCUUUAAAAUGCAGACUGCCAGGCCCCAUCUGUGAAUGAGAAUCUGCAUUUUAACCAUAUUCCCAUGUAAUUUGAAUGCAUUUGAAAGUAGGAGGAACAUGGAUCUAUUAUACCUUCCUAGACUCAAUAGUUCAAUUUUAUCUCCUAAAAAGAGAUUUUAAAAGAAGAUUGAAAACACUCGUUUGUACAACAAAACAGCCAUGGGUAGCAUAUUUUAUAUGUUAAUUUACUCAGGCAUCAUUACCAGCUUCUACUCAGACCUUUUAAGACUAUGUACCCUUCUCAUUUUUUUUGUUGUUGUUGUUCCUUCUGAGACUUAUUCAAAAUGUGAUAAAUACUUAAAACAGGCAUCUGGUUAGCAUUUAUUGUGUGUAGUGUCUGCAACUUCUUCGAUACUUCAAGAGGUGAGGGUAAAUUCCUCUCCCCUUGAAUGUGGGCUGAUAUUAGUAACUUAGUUUGAUAAGUGAAAUAUGACAGAAUAAGACUGCAUGAUUUCAGAGGGUAGGCCAUACAAGGAGAUAGAGCAUCUGCCUUACUCUUUCUCAGCAUACUGCUCUUGGAAUGCAGCCACCAUCCCCAGAUGAAGCCCAACCCACCUGGAGAAGGCACGUUUGGAGGACAGCCCAGUGAUGUAAGAGCCAGCAUCAGGCUCCAUGGAUGCAAGAGGAGAUUCCUGACUUCCUGACUGCAGCCACAAGGGAGGUUCCUAAGUGUGAACCACUUGGAAGAUCCCCAGAAGUGUGAGAGAUGGUGGAUACCUUGGUUGAUUCUACAUAUUGGCUAUUAUUGACAGUGCUGCUAUAAACAUGAUGGGACAGAUAUCUUUGGUACAGUGAGUAUAUCCCAGUAGUGGGAUUGCUGAAUCAUAUGGCAAGUCUAUUUCUAGUUUUUAAAGAAAUCUCCAUACUGUUUUCCAUAGUGGCUUUACUAAUUUUCAUUCCCACAGUGUAUAAGAGUUCCCCUUCCUUCACAUCCUCACCAACAUUUGUUAUUUUCUGUCUUUUGGAUAAUAGCCAUUCAGACAGGGGUAAGAUUUCUCAUUUUGAUUUUGAUUUGAAUUUCUCAUAUUGAGCAUUUUAAAAUAUAUUUAAUAACAUAUAUUAUUUAAUAUAUUUGUUGACCAGUUGUAUUUCUUUUAUAGAAAAACUAUUCAGGUCCUUUGUCUUUUUCUUAACUGAACUGGUUGGUUUUUGUUGUUGUUGUUGUUGUGGAGUUUUUUGAGUUGUUGAUACAUUUUGGAUAAUAAUCUUCUAUCAAAUAAGUAGUUUUCAAAAAUUUUCUCUCAUUCUGUCAGAUGUCCCUUCACUAUAUUUGUAUCCUUUGCUAUACAGAAACUUCUGAGUUUGAUAUAAUCCCAUUUGUUUAGUUUUGCUGUGGGGCCUUAUCCAAGAAGUCAUCAUCUACACCAAUGUCUGAAGUGUUUCCCUACUUUUUCUUCUAUCAAGUUCAUAGUCUGAGGCCUUAAAAUUAAUUCUUUGAUCCAUUUUGAACUGAUUAAUGUGAAUGGUGAGAGGUAGGGAUCCAAUUUCAUUCUUCUAUAUAUCUCCAGGGGCAGUAACAUUUAUUGAAGAGACCUUUCUUCAAUGUAUUUCUGGGUAUUUUUGUCAAACAUUAGUUGACUGUAUGUACAUGAAUUAAUUUCUGGGCUCUCUAUACUUCCUAUUGAUCUAUAUGUAUAUUUUUAUGCACUUCCAUAUUGUUUUAAUUAUGAAAGCUUUUGAGUAUGCUUAGAAAGGAGGUAUUGUGAUACCUUGAAUUUUAGGAUUAUUUUCUUCUAGUUCUGUAAUGAAUAUAUUGGUAUUUUGAUAAGGAUUACAUUGAAUCUGCAGAUGCUUUAAGAGUAUAGACAUUUUAAUUCUUACAAUCCAUGAGAAAGGAAUAUAUUUUCAUUUUCUGUGUCCUUGAUGAUUUCUUUCAUCAAUGUUUAUAAUCUUUCUUGUAGAGAUCUUUCCCUUCUUUGGUUAAAUUUGUUUCUAAACAUUUGAAUGGCUUUUUUGAAUGGAAUUUUUUUUCUGAUAUAUAUUUUGGCAAAUUCAUUAUUGGUGUAUAAGAAAACUACUGUAUUUUUGGUAUUUUUGUAUGUUUAUUUUGUAAUCUACAACUUUACUGAAUUGGUUUAUCAGUUCUAACAGCUUUUUGGAGAACUGUUUAGAUAUUUUCAUAUACAACAGCUUGUCAUCUGCAAGCAUGUUGACUUUCUCUUUCCAAUAUCAAUGCCCUUUAUUUCCUUUUCUUACCUAAUUUCUCUUAUUAGUACUUCCAAUAUUAUAUUGAAAAAGAAUGUUAUAGUGUCACAUGUUUUCAUGAUGUUUACUUCCUCUGUAAGACUCUCUUUAGAAUUUCUUUUAAGGCUGAUUUGGGGAUGAUGAAUUCCUGUUUUUGCUUAUCUGGAAAAUAUAUUAUUUCUUCCUCACUUCUAAAGGAUGUCUUCACUGGAUAUAGUAGUCUUCUUGGUAGUUUUUUUUUUCUUUUAAGACACUUGAAUAUAUCAUCCCAUUAUUAUUUUGGAGUUUCUGAUGAGAAAUUUGCUGUUAGUCUAAUUGGUUUUCCUUUAUAUGUAAUAUGACACUUUCUCUUUUUUUUUCUUUUUUUUAUUUUUUAGACAGGCAGAGUGGACAGUGAGAGAGAGAGACAGAGAGAAAGGUCCUCCUUUUUGCCAUUGGUUCACCCACAAUGGCCGCUGUGACCGGCGUGCUGCAGCCUGUGCACCACGAUCCGAAGGCAGGAGCCAGAUGCCUCUCCUGGUUUCCCAUAGGGUGCAGAGCCCAAGCACUUGGGCCAUCCUCCACUGCACUCCCGGGCCACAGCAGAGAGCUGGCCUGGAAGAGGAGCAACCGGGACAGAAUCCAGAGCCCUGACCGGGACUAGAACCCCGUGUGCUUGUGCCGCAGGCGGAGGAUUGGCCUAUUGAGCCAUGGUGCCGGCUGGCACUUUCUCUUACUGUCUUUAGAAUUCCCCCCAUGUCCUUAACUUUUGGUAAUUUACUACAUAUGCCUUGGAGAAGAUCUUUUUAUUGGUUGAAUCUGCUUGUAGUCCUUUUAAACUUCUAUAUCUGGAUGUUCAUAUAUCUUUCAAGACUUGGGAGGUUUUCAACUACUAUUUCAUUUAAUAGGUUCUCAAUGCCUUUUUCCUUCUAUUCUCUUUUGGGAAUCCACAUAAUAAAAAUAUUUGGUUGUUUAAUGGUACCCAAUAUUUUGCAUAGCCUUUCUUCAUUCUUUUUAAUUCUUUUAUCUUUAUUUUUGUCUGGAUUAUUUCAAAACUCUUGCCCUCCAGAUCAGUAAAUCAUUCCUCUGGUUGGUCUAUUCUGUUGCUGAAGUGCUCAACUGCAUUUUUUAUUUUAUUGAUUGAGGUUUUCAGCUUCAAAGUUUCUGUUUGGUUCUUUUUAAUGAACUCUACCUCAUUAAUGAAUUUCUCAUUCAUGUCACCUAUUGUUUUUCUCAUUUCUUUAAGCUAUCUGUAUUUACUUGCAAUUCAUUGAGUUUCCUUAAGAUUGUUAUCUUUGAAUUCUAUUUCAGACAUUAUAUAAAUUUCCUUCAGAUUAGGAUCUAUCUGUAGAGGACUGUUGUGUUCUUUUGGAGAUGUUAUGCUUUUUUGCUUGUCCAUGUUUCCUAUGUUCCCAUGUUGACAUCUCUGCUUCUGGUGUAAUAGUCCCUUCUUUAUGGAGUACGUUUUGUUAGGAAAGUUUUUUUAUUUUUUUAAUGUGGGAUGCAGGGUAUCACUUGGUUUGUUGUUGCUUUGGCUUUGGUUCUAGGUGAGCCUAGAAGUGUAACCUCUGAGUGAUUUGUUUUGCUUUAACCAAUGUCAGCAGUGUCUAUAAGUAACAGAGUUGUCUAUUCUGCAGCAGUGCAUGGAGGUCUAAAUACAUCUUUGAAGUAGAGGCGGACUUCUUAAGGUGUAUAUCUUCAGUCUUCAGAAAGUUCGGUAUCGGUCACACUCAAAUUUAUAAUAACCUGAGCCUUGUUUUUGAUGCUGAGAGACACCAACAUUGUGUCCCUUGUCCCACUGGGCAGACCUGAGUGAUGUGGGGCUUUUUGCACCAAUAUCCAUGGCUCUAGAACUGUGUGAAGUAGAUAGGACCUUCUCUAGGUUCUGCUGAGAGACAGGUGCUGGGUUUUAUAGCACCAAAAGCCCUUACUUCCAGAACUUAGCAAUGUGGAAUGGGGACCCUGCUGUGGAUCUACAUGGUAACUGCAAGUUAUCCUGGAGAUUGUGCACUGGCAAGUAUGAGUCUGGACAGGUGAAAUGCAGCAGAUUUUUCCCUGGGUCUCACAGGGUAAAUGUUGAUGCAUCUGAGGAAAUUAAUAAUAAUUCUAACAGUCCUGGUCCUGUGGAAUGCUGUGGGGUCAUUACCUACGUCUCCCAGGAUUACAGUCAGUUGUGUUGGGAAUGGUGGUAGUUACUUGCCUGAAAUAGCAUCUCAGAUAGAGCUCUCCAGAUACCUCAAGUGAGUAUGAGUUACUCCAGAGAUUGUAAUACCAACAUCAGCAAUACCAGCUCUGUAAGGCACUGAUGGAAAUGUCUCCCAGUUCCCACAUGACAUGCAAGGGUGAUGCUGGCUGGUGUUUGUGCCUUGGGUUCCCAGCACUGUAAUCUAGGAGGUGCAGAGGUAACUUCCUCCAGUCUCAUCCUCUUGAAUUUUAUCUAAGCUGCUCCUGGUGCUAAUGCCAAGAAACCAAGAGGAAACCCCCUGAAUAACACAUAGGGAGUGAGCUCAAGCCCAGGGUCUUAUCCCUAGAAUUCUCACAGUCACAGGCCACAGGGUGCUCUGAAAAGCACCCUGUUCUGGCACUAGUGGCUUUUGGUAGCAGCAGAACUGCUCGCUGUCCACUAGAACAGAGUUCAGUGGUGAAUCUACCAUAGUGAAUUGAGGCUGGCACUUUAGCAGGGAGGGAACAUUUGGCUUUCCUAUGUAGAGCUUAGACACCAACCAGUUCCCUAGGCUAGACUUGAAGUUAGUGGGGACCAUGGAAUUCUGACACAGGACUGCCAGUGGUGGGAGCCACAGCACCUUCUUACCUCUUCCCAACAUGUUCCCUGUCUGAAAGCUGGUGGAGUAGGUGCUGUGGCAGCUGGUGGCAAUGCUAUGUCUGUCCUCUCUCUUUGCUGUCUUAUAGAGACCACUUCUUUGCUGGAAAUUUCUCUCAGUUCCCUCUGAACACAAUCCUCGCUAUGUUUUUCUGGAAUUUCUCUGUGGCUGAGAUGAGUGCAGUUUCUCACUCUUCAGCCAUCUUUGAUCCUGUCAUGAUAUUUUCUUGGUCUCUUGAUUUAUAUGUGUAUUCUCUUCUUGUUGUUAAAAAACACAUUUGGAAAGUUUAUUUUCCUUUUGUUAAAAUAUAUAUCUAUUUGAAAGUCAGGGUUCCAAAGAGAGAGGGAGAGACAAAGAGAGAGAUCUCCCAUCCACUAGUGCACUCCCCAAAUGGCCACAAUGGUCAGGACUGGGCCACACAAAAGCCAGGAGUCUAGAGCCUAGAACUCCAUCCAGGUCUCCCAGGUAGGUGACAGUGGCCCAAGUACUUGGCCAUCUUCUGCUGCUUUUCCCAGGCACAUUGGCAGGGAGCUGGACAGAAAGCAGAUCAGCUGGGACUUGAACCAGUGCUUUUAUGGGAUGCUGGUAUUGCAUAUAAUGGCUUAACCUGCUCUGCCACAAUGAAAAGGUUUUUCUUUUUUUUAAGCUUUUAUUUAAUAAAUAUAAAUUUCGAAAGUACAACUUUUGGAUUAUAGCGGCUUUUUCCCCCAUAACCUCCCUCCCACCCGCAACCAUCCCAUCUCCCACUCACUCUCCCAUCCCAUUCUUCAUCAAGAUUCAUUUUUAAUUUUCUUUAUUUACAGAAGAUCUACUUAGUAUUUAUUAAGUAAAGAUUUCAACAGUUUGCACCCAAACACACAAUGUAUAGAGUACUGUUUUAGUAAUAGUUUUACCGUUGAUUUUCAUAGUACAACACUUUAAGGAUAGAAAUCCUACAUGGGGAGUAAGUGCACAGUGACUCCUUUUGUUGAUUUAACAAUUGACACUGUUAUUUAUGACGUCAGUAAUCACCGAGGCUCUUGUCAUGAGCUGCCAAGGCUAUGGAAGCCUCUUGAGUUCACCAACUCAAGAGACAAGGCCACAGUCAAAGUGGAAGUUCUCUCCUCCCUUCAUAGCAAGGUACCUCCUUCUUUGAUGGCCCAUUUGGAAAGGUUUUUUUCUAAGUUGUUUCUUAUAUGUCCAGUAUUAGAAGUUUAUGUAAGUUUUCUCUGGAGGAUUUCAAUAUAGUUACAUGACAAAAUUUUUAAAAAUUGCUUUGUAGCCAUAUGUUCACUCUAUAAUGGGUAUAUUUUCUACUUUCUAUCUGACAGAGUCUUUUUUAAAAAAUUAUUUUAUUUAUUUGAAAGAUAGAGUUAUAAGGAGAGAGUUAGAGACAGAGAGGGACAGAAAGAUCUUCCAUCUCUUGGUUUAUUCCCUAGGUGGCCACAAUAGCCAGGGCUGGGGCAAGCUAAAGCCAGGAGCCAGGAGCUUCCUCUGGGUCUCUUACAUGGGUUGCAGGAGCCCAAGUGCUUGGGCUAUCUUCUAAUGCUUUCCCAUGUGCAUUAGCAGAGAGCUGGAUCAGAAAUGAAGCUGCCAGGACUUAAACCAGCACUCAUAGGAGAUGCCGGCAUCCUAGGCAGUAGCUCAUCUCACUGUACCACAAUGCUGGCCCCUGAUAUGAUCUAAAGACAAUAUUCAGUGGAACAGCAGAUUCAGUGAAUGUUGGGUAAAUGCACUUCCUUAUUUUGGUUUCUUCAUUAAAGAAUAGGGAUAUUUUGUUGGGUCGAUAUACAGCAUUCUUUCAUUGUAUAGAAUUCAACUGUAUGAAGAACGGUGAUAGAGUAGCCAAAGGAAUCCACUGUUCCAGUUACUGAUUCCUUAUCUUUCAGCUCCACAUCACUCCUUGCUGUUCUAUGGGAAUGGAAUUGAACCCUUUAAGGAUAUCUUCAGAGUGAACCUGAUGUUAGCUUUGUCACUAGAGCAUGCUGGAGGAGGGUUGCUGGUAGAUGAAUCUUCUCUUCCUGUUCCUGGUAUCCUCCUCUUGCAGUGUGUGUGUGUAUGUGCACAUACAUGUGUGCAUGAGAGUGUGGUUCUUGCAGUGCCCAACACCUGGUAGCACAGCCCAUCCUCCUGUAGGCAGCUUCAUAAGGAAGGGCUACCAGCAAGGCAUCUCCUUAUGAAUGGCUGCCUUGGGCAAUCUAGCCUCAGCAGCUUUGCAGUGAAAUGCAGUUGGUGGGCAACUGCACCCCUCCUUGGCCAUCUACAUCAUGGAGUGCUACUGGCUGGACACUUCCCCCUGACCAGUAUUCCCCACUCCCCUCCAGGUGACUUUUCAGUAAGUUUUUGAGACAUGGCUCCUCCUUGAAAUAAGCUUUCUACCAAAUCCCACUGAACGUAUCUGCCAUCCAGUGAACUUCACUAUGCCUUCUCCAAAGAUGUCUGGACCUCAGCCCAUGGAGUGAGAAGGUCUCUCCCUUGUGUUUUUUCUCAGUCAUAGGGGUUGCCACCUCUCAGUUUUUGAAAGAUUUACUUAUUUUAUCUGAAAGGCUGAGCUACAGAGAGAGAGACAUAGAGAGGGAAAGCUAAAGAGAGAGAUUUCUUUCAUUUGCUGGUUUACUCCCCAAAUGGCCGCAAUAGCCUGGGGCUGGGCCAGGCAAUGCCAAGAGCCUGGAACUCUGUCUAAGUCUCCAAAGUUGGUGCAGUGGUCCAAGCACUUGAGCCAUCUUCUGCUGCCUUCCCAGGUACAUUAGUAGAUUGGAUUAGAAGUGGAGCAGCUGGAACUCAAAUCAGUACCCAUAUGCGAUGCUGGUGUUGUAGAUAAGGGGUUAACCAGCUGUGCCAUGACGCAUGCCUCUCCUCUCUGCUUUGAGUUCUUUUUAUCUCUUGCUGGUAAAUCCUCCAUCCCUCUAAUGUCUUGCUUAAAUCACCGUGUGAUGCAUGUCUCCUGAUUGGACUUUGACAGAUACAGCUUCUUACAGAAACCAGAUGGCAGUAAGAGGUGACAUCCUUGUUCACAUUCAUUUUUUAAAGGUUUGUUUAUUUAUUUGAGAGGUAGAGUUAGAGACCGAGAUAGGGAGAAACAGAGAGAGGAAGAGACACAGAGAGAGAGAGAGAGGUCUUCUAUCUGCUGGUUCACUCCUGAAAUUGCUUCAAUAGCCAGAGCUGGGCCAAUUGGAGGCCAGGAUACAGGAGCUUCCUCUGGGUCUCCCAAGUGGGUGCAGGGGCCCAAGCACUUGGGCCAUCUUCCACUGCUUUCCCAGGCAAUCUUCAGGGAGCUGGAUGGGAAGUGGAACAGUUGGGAGAACCAGUGCCCAUAUAGGAUGCCUGUAGUACUGCAGAGGGAGGCAUAACUUACUACAGCACAGGGCUGACCCCUCACAAUAAUUUUUAUUGUUCAGAUUAUUCUUCUUUAAAAAGAAGAAGCCCACCCUGUACCCCUACCCCAAAAGAGUCAGAGCCCAUUCUUUGCCAUCUCAUUCAGAAGGCCUCCCUGGGGAUAUCAACUGAAGGUUGCAAGAUGAAUGGGGCACCACCUCUGACAUGGUUCUGGCCCGUGGCAUUGGCCUGGUGAUGCACACAACUAUCAUAUACGAGAUGUCUUCAAAAAUUCCUAGAAAAUUAGCAUUGUUUAAGAAACUAUAUAUAGAUUUCAAAGGUUUUUAUUCCCCCAAAAAAGCAAUUUUAUGCAUAUUUUUAGCUAGUUUUCAUUCAAGAAAAAGAGAGCACUCCCUUGUACUGGUUUACCCCCCAAAUGCCUGCAAUUGAUGAGGCUGGGCUGUGGCUUAAGCUAGGAGCCCCAUACUCAGUCUAAGUCUCUCAAAUGGUAACAGGGAUACAAUUACUUCAGCUUUCACCUGCUGCCUCCCAGGGUCUGCAUUAUUGGACAGCUCCAUUCAGGGGCUAGAGCCAGGAAUAGAACGCAGAUACUCCAAUAGGGAUCCUAGAUAUCCUAAAUGACAUCUUAACCCGCAGACCAAAAUCCUGCCCCUCCAUGAACUAUCUGAAGUGACUUCAUAGAUUGAAACCACCCACCAGUCUCAUCAACUGACUUUGUUUUAAAAAGCCCUGAUUCUUCUGGUCCGGGUAGUUUUUCCUGGCUCUGAAAUUAAAAAUAAAAACAGGGAAAAAUGAGAUAAGGGGAAUAAAAAUUUAGAUGUUAAAAUGAGAAGCUAAGACUCUAAAGGAUAUACUUAUGAAUAAAGUAAAUUACAAAUUGGAAACAAAACUCUUUUCAAGUGAAAAUAAUAGAAGGAAAAAUUAAAUUGAAAAUAAAGAGUAAUCCAGGUAGCUGAAACAUUUUAAAGGAAGAUUAAAAAUAAGCUCACAUUAGUGAAAGAAUAUAACAUUCUGUAAGUGCUAAACAGUUAGAGAACAAAACAACUAAAAAUAAAUACAGAAGAUAAGAGAUGAACAAUUUAAAACAUGAGAACAUUUUUCUAAAAGGCAAAUUACCUGCUUUUAAAAGACAUCUAGCUUUUGUUAUUCUCCAAACAUUAACACAGCCACAAGUUCCAGUAGCUUGUAUCUGUGGCUUUGAUUUCCAAGGUCAGGAUCUUGGCAAAGCACUCUUCAGAGUCCCAUUGGAGUAGCAAGCAGUUAAGAAUGUUUAGCUCUUCUAUUUCCUCAUUCUCCAAAGGCUCCUGUCUCCUCUGAUUGCCUGGUUUUUAAUUCAGUAUCUUGUAGAGUUGGGUAUGGAAAGAGGCUAGAGCAACACAUGCCCUUUCUUGGCCAGCCCUGUUUGCUGUGGCUCUAGGAGCAGGCCUGCCGAUAAAUCCUUUACUACCAGCCUGAAAACCCAGGAGUAGGCCUAUAAGGAUGUGGAUUGCCCAGGUAUCUCCUGAUGCUGAGGUUGCUGUGUGUCCUCCUUUCUUUCCCUCACACUGCUGGCUGCAGCUCAAGUAAUCAAACUGCUUUAUAAUGUAUCUUGCCCCAGGAAAAGGCACAUUAGUAUUUUUCAUACCUUUUGGUUAGAACCUACAGUAAGAAAUACUUUUCCUACUCUUGACUCAGUACAUAUAUGUGUGUAUAUACAUAUCUAUAGGACUGAAAAGGCAAUUUUACAAAACAAGUCCCUCUCUAUCAUUUUCUAUUCUUUUGUAUUCUGUAUUAUGGAAUUGUCUCAAAUGGGAGCUAGAUCAAAGGUUUUCAAAAAAUAUUUGGCUUUCAUAUACCCUAAAAAUGCAUGUUACAUUGUGUUUCCUAAUGCAUAUAUAAGCAUAUGCAUGUACAUAACUAAAAUAAAAUCUUACAGAACAA